This 462-nucleotide ribosomal RNA is filed under the name uncultured bacterium. Its description in RNAcentral is "bacterial SSU rRNA". It matches the Rfam family "Bacterial small subunit ribosomal RNA", at positions 331 to 793 of the family's 1533-position model. The record is from RNAcentral.
CCAGACUCCUACGGGAGGCAGCAGUGGGGAAUAUUGCACAAUGGGGGGAACCCUGAUGCAGCGACGCCGCGUGGGUGAAGGAGCACCUCGGUGCGUAAAGCCCUAUCGGCAGGGAAGAAAAGCGAACAGGUUCGCCUGGACGGUACCUGACUAAGAAGCCCCGGCUAACUACGUGCCAGCAGCCGCGGGAAUACGUAGGGGGCAAGCGUUAUCCGGAUUUACUGGGUGUAAAGGGAGCGUAGACGGCAUGGCAAGCCAGAUGUGAAAUACCGGGGCUCAACCCCGGGACUGCAUUUGGAACUGUUAAGCUGGAGUGUCGGAGAGGCAGGCGGAAUUCCUAGUGUAGCGGUGAAAUGCGUAGAUAUUAGGAGGAACACCAGUGGCGAAGGCGGUCUGCUGGACAGCAACUGACGCUGAGGCGCGAAAGCGUGGGGAGCAAACAGGAUUAGAUACCCUUGUAUG